Non-coding RNA from Sus scrofa (pig), 902 nucleotides. The record is from RefSeq and is a predicted model, not a curated record. NCBI's taxonomy places the organism in Eukaryota, Metazoa, Chordata, Mammalia, Artiodactyla, Suidae.
AACAGCUCAUUCGCACACAGUACCGCAGUACUUUAGUCUAAACGCCCAACCUCCGCUGCUUGGUGCUAAUGAUUCUAGUCUAAAGGAAUGUGAAGACUAUUUCUACCUACUUGAAAAGAUCUGGAGACUGUCCAACCCGACUGGAAGAUGGACAAGGAUGCGAGCAGGGGCUCAUUCUGAUUUGAAGGGCACCUGAAGGGUCGGUUAAGCUUGCUGAUUCGAAAGUCGAUCCUUAGUGACCACAGGCACUGCGACUGCACCAGCCAUGGCUGUGAUGGUGGCACUCCCCAUGGACCCCUCUACAAAGUGGGAUAGGAUCACUAGAAGGAAGCUGAUGAAACCCCUUCUCAACCUCUUUGUUUCCAAAAGCACACUCAUUCUGAAGAGUCAGUCCCACUCCCUCUCAGACAAGUGGCAUUCCUUUCUCCAGGAGUCUGGGAGUGAAAACCUGGAAAAACACCAGAGUGGCCUGCAACGUCCAAACUGGCUUCCCAACCCCUUGAGGUCCCCGAGCAUCGAGGAUGAGAGCUGGAACUGAUCCUGGCUGCAGGUAUGAGGGGGCACCAGCACACAGAGCAGCUGUUCACCUCUCUACUUUCUGUUCCUGGCCUCCCCAUGUCCUUAUUUGCACUAUCUUCAAUUACAAAGGAUGCUCUGUCUUCAAUUACAAACGACCCACGCAAAUGUCCCAUGACUAGAAUUUACCAUCUGAUAACUGUAUGGUCACCUUCCUUUCCUGGCAAAUAUAUAAAAUGUUAUUUCAAAAUGUCAGGAUCGGACAUGUUUGGAAGAAAACCCACACAAAGACUAGGCCACAAGAAUAUUUAGUCAAAAAUCAUAAUGCCCUCAGGGUAGGAGUGUAUUUAUUUCUCAAAUAAUCAUCCUGACUUCCAAUAUGUCAA